Long non-coding RNA from Marmota monax (woodchuck), 1744 nucleotides. RefSeq lists it as uncharacterized. The transcript has 3 exons. The record is from RefSeq and is a predicted model, not a curated record. NCBI's taxonomy places the organism in Eukaryota, Metazoa, Chordata, Mammalia, Rodentia, Sciuridae.
UGAGCCUGCGCUCUAAAGAGAGAGAUGCACCAUUUCACAACUUCAGCAAAAGCCAAAGCAGCCAACAAAGCCACAGCCACCUCAGCUGUGCUGGGCUCUACUGGAUGUGCUGGGCUCUACUGUUUGAGCAGCUCAUCGGCCACUCCCCAGAAGCAGAUCACUCGGUCUUUCCCUUUUUAAACCCACGUCAUCAUCUGAUCGUAAUAGAAAUCAAUCUCAAAUCACCAUGCAAAGGCGUAUCCAUGGCAACCUCCAGAGGAAGGACACAGAGAUGAUGCUCCAGUGGCUGCAGCAGAAAAAGCUCAGGCUCUGGCAAUAUACCAGGCAAAGAAUGUCAACCUCUACCUCAUAGCAAACGGUCAGUAAAGGCUUGCUGCUGUCUUCACUGCAAUAAAUGAGGUACCCGCCUGGCUUAGAAGUGGUAGCCAAGCUUGGCGGAAAAAACAUCGAUCAGGCACACAGCUGGACAACUAGGGCGUGAUAAGCGCAUGCGCAAUGAGCCUGGGAAGCUGAUAAGGACCUUCGUUGAGAGGUGCGUGGUGGCCAGCGCCCUCCGUCGGCAAAGGGAAGACUGUGUAGAAGAUUUGGAGAACCUUUUACAAGCUUUUGAGUGGUAAACUGCCAGCUAAAACAGUAGCAAUAAACCAUAUUUUGUUGGCUAGGCUGGAGAAAAACAUAAAUUUUGCUGCUACUCAGUGUCAGCCAUCAUAUGUGGAUGGAAACAUUCUCAUGCCUUUUUGAUGGUAAUGUAAAAUAAUUCAAAGUUUCAUAAUGGCAUUUGGAGCUUUUAUAUUCUAAAAAAUUAAACUUCUUGACUCAGUGUGCCCACUUCUAAUAAUGUAACCUAAAUAAAUAACCAAGUAAGUUUGCAAAAAUGUUUGUAUAAAGAUGUUGGGAGAGCCAGGAUUUCACGGACAUGGGCUCGAAUUCUAACUGCAAUUUACUAGCUAGGUGAGAUCUUGGGCCAAUUACCUAACUUCUCCAUGCCUCUGUUUCCUCAAUUUGUAAAGGAGGAUGUUAAUGAUCCUCUUUUGAGGAUCUGAUAAUAGUAUCAAUUUCACCUGAUUGUUAGGAGAAUGGAGUGAAUCUGAGUUUGAAAUAUAACUAUUACAAAGAUAUGUUUGUCUCAGUAAUCUCAAGUUCAAAACAACCCAAAAUAUACAUAAAAUUGAUGGUGAGUGGGAGUGAGAGGUAAUGAUAGAAGGGAUGAAUUGUUCACCCCUCUACUACUCAUCCUCCCCCCCCCAUUUCACUUUCUACAUUUUUAAAAUUAUUCUGAAUGAAUAAUAUUUCCAUAUGGUUCAAAAAUCAAAAUAAAUGGGCCUGGUGGCCUAUGCCUGUAAUCCCAGUGACUUGGGAGGCUGAGGCAGGAGGAUUCCAAAUUCAAAACGAGCCUCAGCAAUUUAGAGAGGCCUUAAGCAACUCAGAGAGACCUUGACUCAAAACAUAAAAAGGGCUGGGAAUGUGUGUCUGGAUUCAAUCCCUGGUACCAAAAAAUCAUCAUCAUCCUAUCAUCAUCAAAAUAAGAUUCAAUACACAAUGGAACAUUUUUCAGCAUUAAAAGAGAAUAAAAUCAUAGCAUUUGCAGGUAAAUGGAUGAAGUUGGAGAAUAUAAUGCUAAGUGGAGUUGUUAGCCAAUCCCAAAAAAACAAAUGCUGGAUAUUUUAUCUUAUUUAUAUUGGGGUUGGGAGGGGAAGCAUGUGAAGAUUAGAGGAACCCUAGAUAGGGCAAAGGGAAGGGGGGG